Molecule: long non-coding RNA, 3514 nt
Filed under: Sus scrofa (pig)
Lineage: Eukaryota; Metazoa; Chordata; Mammalia; Artiodactyla; Suidae
Description: lncRNA (ENSSSCG00015018123.1)
Source: RNAcentral
GCUUUCAGCUGUGGUAAAAUACACAUGGCAUUAAAAGUUACCACUUGAAGCAUUCAGUCCAGUAGAGAUAAGUUUAUUCACAUUGUUUUGCAAUAGCUCUCCCAACCUUUUUCAUCUUGCAAAACUGAAACUCUGCACCCACUAAACAACUCCCAUUUCCCCCUCCCUCCAGCCCCUGACGAGCACCAACUACUUUCUGUUUCUACGAAUUUAACUACUUUAUAGACCCUUAUAUAAGUGGAAUUGGACAUCAUUUGCAUUGGCUCAGUGGUAACGAAUCUGACUAGUAUGCAUGAGGACACAUGUUGGAUUUCUGGCCUUAUUCAGUGGAUUAAGGAUCCGACAUUGCUGUGAGCUGUGGUAUAGGGCGCAGAUGUGGACUGGACCCGGAGUUGCUGUGGCUGUGGUAUAGGCCAGCAGUUACAGCUCCAACUGAACCCCUAGCUUGGGAAUCCCCAUAUGCCGCGGUGCGGCCUUAAACCAACAACAACAAAAACCCCUCAGAACUGUGACAGGUACAACUACACAGAAGGGAUUAUUAUCAUAUAAAAGUUAUCCAUCCAAAAAACUAAUUUCUCCGAACUCAAAGAAUUUGACAACUCUAAAUCUGAAACGUGUAGUUUACUCUAACCACUCAAGGAGUUCUCACUGUGGUACAGUGGCUUAAGUCCAGCUGCAGUAGUUCAGGUCACUGUGAGGGCAAGGGUUCAAUCCCCAGCCUAGUGCAAUGGGUUAAAGGAUCUGGAAUUGCCGCAGCUGCAGCAUAGGUUGCAACUGUGGCUCAGAUUCAAUCCCUGGCCCAGGGAACCUCCUUAUGCCACAGGUUCAGUCACGAAAAAGUAAAGAAAUACAAAAUUAACCAUUCAAAGCAUAAAUAACUCAGGUGGGAUGGAGAGGGUGUUUACUAAUUCUCUUCGAGUCACUGGAAGGAGCCACGGCCACCCAGGAAGACAGUCCUAGCAACUCCCCAAGCCUCCAGUGAGGACACACAUGUCAAUGAGCAUAGCUUCCAUGAGGACCCGAGCAGAGACAUUCAAUUAGAAAAUGUCUCAAACAAUAAGAAAAUAUGUUUAAAACACCAGAAUCAUCACAAAAAGCCAAAGCACCAAGAACCUGUAAAAGUUAGCCACCUAAAUAUUUUCAUCAUGCACUUAAAAUCCAAAGGCAAUAAUCAGCCAGGGCAUCACAGGAAAUCAAUGUAUCACAGGAAACUAACCUAAGAGUAGAUGAGAGAAAACUUCCCCCCCCCCCCAAGAAACAGCAUAAACACUGCAGGGUGCAGUUUCGUGAACUCCAUCCACCUAAGUUUGUCCUUUUCUUGCUCACACCAUCAUCAAAUCUUUGGCUAUCGCUCAGAUCAUUUCUAUAGAGGUAAGGUGAGGUCACAGACACUCUAUACUGUUGUCCUUUAUUAACUACAAUAGAGUUUCUAUAAAUUAUUUCUCAGCCAAUCACGGGCAGCGGCAAAAUUCACCGUGAAUUUGCUGAUCAAAUCCACUGCCAGAAGAGGUCUUCCGGCAAAUACUUCUAAGUAAAAUGUCUUAAUCCAGAUCCUGUGCUUACACUUCAAGAUGUAAUGCUGUUAGCACACCUGGCCCUCUAUCAUGUUCUCUGCUGGCCAGCACAAAUAGGUGAACCUGUCCAACCUCCUCACCAAGGGCAGGCUGUGGCUUACCAUUACCAAUUUUAACCCCUUUUCCUCAUGAGGGCAGUACUGUUUAAAGGGAAUUAGGCUAGUUGAUUUGCAAAGGUGUUCCCAGCUUUAAUGUUUCUGGAUGAAGAUGGCUAUACAUAUAUAAGUGUGAUUCAUUUCUUAAACCCAAAGUCUGUUGAGAGGCAAGACAAGGAUUCAAUAGAGUGAUGUUUUACUUUUCAUAAACUGAAGUGAAGUUUACAUCCAGUGCAGUAAAUGGAUCUUAAGAAUGAAGUUCAAGAGUUCUCAGGAACGAAAGCACCUAUGUAAUCCACACUCCUAGCAAGAUACGUAUUACUGUCACUGCCUUUCAAAGCUCUCCUGGGCCUCUUUUCAGGCAAUCCCUACCUCCUCACCCUACCAACAACCACUCUCUUACUUUCUGUUAUCACAGUUUAGUUUUGCUUCAAAUAAAGGGAAUCAUACAGUAAGUACUCUUCAUGCUUUUUUCAGCAUAAUGUUUUUGAGAUUUGUCCAUAUUAUUGUGUAUAUUAAUAAUUUGUCCCAGAGUACCCGUUGUGGCUCGGUGGGUUAAGAACCUGACGUUGUGUCUGUGAGGAUGCAGGUUCAGUCCCUGGCCUCACUCUGUGGGUUAAGGAUGUGGCACAGGUCACAGAUGUGGCUCAGAUCUGGUGCUGCUGUGGCUGUGGUGCAGGCUGGCAGCUGCAGCUCCAAUUUGACCCUUAGCCAGGAACUUCCAUACGCUGCAGGUGUGGCCGUAAAAAGAAAAAAAGUAGUAAUAAUUUGUCCCUAUUUAGUGCUAAGGGUAAUUCCACUGUAUGAAUAUACUAGUUCAUUCUCAUCAGAUGGGCAUUUGCGUUGGUCCCAGUGGGGCUAUUUUGGUAAAGAGAACUCAAAUGGUUCUGCAGGAUUUCCCCACCCCCUGAUGCACACACCCUGCACAGUCCCCAGCUGUAAACAUGGUGGAGUUUCACCCAGUGAUUAGCUUAUUUAUAUGGUACAACUGACUAAAAUAGGGAGAUUACUGUUUUCUCCAUGUGGCAGCAGAAGUCAGAAGUUCAAAGAACAAAGAUUCUAUGCACCGGUGGUGAUGUGAAGAUGGAGGAAACCACACGUCAGAGGUUGCAGGUGACCUCCAGGAGCUGAGAAGGGCACCCCACUAACACCUAGCAAGGAAACAGAUCCACAGCUUCACGAUCCCGAAUUCUGCCAACAACAAGAAUGAGCUGAAAGUGGAUUUUCCCUCCAGAGCCUCCAGCUGAGAACUCAUUCGCUGCCGCCAGAGCUGCUACUCUGAGCAGAGUCACGCCCAUGCGGUGCUUGAGGCCUCAUCUCUGGAACAGUGAGCUAACGAAUGGGGGUCAUUUGUGGUGAUUUGGUACUUGGCGAAGAAAACGGACAGGGGUGGGAUUAAUAAUACGUACAAGUUGCUACCAAUGCACACAGACAGGAAGUUUUCAGUGCCUGUGGAUAAACAGCUAGGCGUAGAACUGGGGGCUUGUGGAUAAGCAGACAUUUAUAAGAAACCGUCAAAGUGCUUUGCUAAGUGGCAUUCCCAUUUCACACUCCCACUUGCCCUGCAGGAGAUCUGGGUGUCCCACAGCCUCACCAGCACUUGGCAUUGUCAGUCUCUUUAAUUUUAGCUGAAAUGCUAAACACGUCAGCAGCCUUCUUUACGUAUGGGGUAUGACUCUCUUCCAUUUCUGUUCUCUGUAGCGUUUUUAUAACAUUUAGAGCGAACACCACAUUAAGCCCCGUUGUUGUAUUCUUUGUCACUGUCGCACAGGGGUUAGGUUCCUUUGCACAGGAGCAUAAGCACUGAAGAGUGGGGAUCAUGUCUUUAUUCCUCUAAAUCCUCAC